RNAcentral lists this ribosomal RNA (497 nucleotides) under uncultured bacterium. RNAcentral describes it as "partial 16S ribosomal RNA". It matches the Rfam family "Bacterial small subunit ribosomal RNA", at positions 28 to 507 of the family's 1533-position model. The record is from RNAcentral.
GAUGAACGCUGGCGGCGUGCCUAAUACAUGCAAGUCGAGCGAACAGACGAGGAGCUUGCUCCUCUGACGUUAGCGGCGGACGGGUGAGUAACACGUGGAUAACCUACCUAUAAGACUGGGAUAACUUCGGGAAACCGGAGCUAAUACCGGAUAAUAUAUUGAACCGCAUGGUUCAAUAGUGAAAGACGGUUUUGCUGUCACUUAUAGAUGGAUCCGCGCCGCAUUAGCUAGUUGGUAAGGUAACGGCUUACCAAGGCGACGAUGCGUAGCCGACCUGAGAGGGUGAUCGGCCACACUGGAACUGAGACACGGUCCAGACUCCUACGGGAGGCAGCAGUAGGGAAUCUUCCGCAAUGGGCGAAAGCCUGACGGAGCAACGCCGCGUGAGUUAUGAAGGUCUUCGGAUCGUAAAACUCUGUUAUUAGUGAAGAACAUAUGUGUAAGUAACUGUGCACAUCUUGACGGUACCUAAUCAGAAAGCCACGGCUAACUACGUG